This 420-nucleotide ribosomal RNA is filed under the name bacterium. RNAcentral describes it as "partial 16S ribosomal RNA". It matches the Rfam family "Bacterial small subunit ribosomal RNA", at positions 355 to 776 of the family's 1533-position model. The record is from RNAcentral.
UGGGGGAUAUUGCACAAUGGGCGAAAGCCUGAUGCAGCGACGCCGCGUGGGGGAUGAAGGCUUUCGGGUUGUAAACCUCUUUCGCUAUCGAACAAGGCCCGCUUAGGGUGGGUUGAGGGUAGGUGGAGAAGAAGCGCCGGCUAACUACGUGCCAGCAGCCGCGGUAAUACGUAGGGCGCGAGCGUUGGCCGGAAUUAUUGGGCGUAAAGGGCUUGUAGGCGGCUUGUUGCGCCUGCUGUGAAAACGCGGGGCUUAACUUCGCGCGUGCAGUGGGUACGGGCAGGCUUGAGUGUGGUAGGGGUGACUGGAAUUCCAGGUGUAGCGGUGGAAUGCGCAGAUAUCUGGGGGAACACCGAUGGCGAAGGCAGGUCACUGGGCCAUUACUGACGCUGAGGAGCGAAAGCAUGGGUAGCGAACAGG